RNAcentral lists this transfer RNA (67 nucleotides) under Pseudobdellovibrionaceae bacterium. RNAcentral's name for it is "Bdellovibrionaceae bacterium (sponge metagenome) tRNA-Leu". It matches the Rfam family "tRNA", at positions 9 to 64 of the family's 71-position model. From Rfam's summary of the family: Transfer RNA (tRNA) molecules are approximately 80 nucleotides in length. Their secondary structure includes four short double-helical elements and three loops (D, anti-codon, and T loops). Lineage: Bacteria; Pseudomonadati; Bdellovibrionota; Bdellovibrionia; Bdellovibrionales; Pseudobdellovibrionaceae. The record is from RNAcentral.
GGUGGAAUUGGCAGACACGCUAGAUUUAGGAUCUAGUGCCGUGAGGCGUGUGGGUUCGAGUCCCUCC